UUCUCCUUAGGGAGCUGCUGUGAAGCAGGCAAGGACAGCAGGAAUUAAGACACUGACAGACUCUUGCGUUCACAAAAGAUGUAGUGGUUUUUGUGUUGCAUCGUAUAUACAUGUUAUCCAGAAAGGGCAGACUUAGAUCAUCGGUGCUUUCUUACUAAUGCCUGGAAUCAGAAGCUGUAUUGCAGAGCUGUGAAACUGCUUGGGAGAAGAGAAGGUUGCUUUGAAUUCUGGAUAUUCUCAGACAUUAUACAGAACAAACCUGUUAGAGCAUUUGUCUCCUGCCUCCAUUUGCUCUCGAUGAUGUAUGUGUAUGGUGGGAUUUUUUUGUUUCGUCUUUUGUUUUGGUUUGGUUUGGUUUUUAACCUCUAGCAUUUAAGGAUAUUUAAAGAAGAGACUGUAGUCUUCAGAAUACAGCAUUUGCUUUGCCUCUGAUGCAGAAGACUCUGCAGUGUUUGCUCUUCCGAAUGAAAUAAGUUGACGGAAAACCAGCUAUAUUACAGAGAAAGGUUUCACAGAUUCCAGGAACACAGAUUUCAUGCAUGUUGCCUACUUGCUUUGACUGAUAGAUACGAUAUUAGUCUCUUUGCUGCCAAUGUGUAUGUCUAUGUCAGGUGCCUGGGGAUGCAUGUAACUGUGUGCUGAGCCUGAAAUCUAAACAUCUUUAUUUGAUGUUACUUGCUUGUAAAGUGGCAUUUAAGGAUAAUUCUUAUACUGAGAACAAUAUUCUGCUUCUGAAAGCUUCUGAUUUUUGUUUGUAAAGAGGGUUGGAGGAGCUACAUUUAUAUAGCAACAAUGGUAUGUGGAUUAUAAAAGAAACUUAGCAGAAUUUUGUCAACAUACUCGUCAGUGUGGCUCUCUCUGGUUUAAAAGAGAAACUACCCCUCCAGCCAAGGAAAUGGCUUUUCUUGUUCGAUGUUACGCCAAUUGUCUUCAGCCAUGGGCCUCCAAAGUAAGUGAUUACUAUUUUUAUAUAGUUUAAUCAUUAAAUUUAAACUGCACUUGAAUUCUAAAUUAGUUCUAUUGUGCUAAUAACAACUAUAAAACAGUCUAUAAAUCCUUGUCUCAAUGUCAUGUGAUUUAGAGAAAGCCUCUGAGAUGGGUUGAACAGACUCAAUAGUCUGCAACUUGAAAUGUACAUAUGAAUGUACAUAUGAAAUGUACAUAUGAAAUGCACACCUUAGACACGCUCAUCACUGAGCUGUUGAUAUUUUUAAAAUUACUUGUGCCCAUGCUUAACUUGAGGCAUUCUGUUGUUUCUUUCCUUAAAGGGCUAGUAUGUUUAGACAUCGUGUUCAGAUCAUGGGCUUAUAGAAUGUAUCUUGGUAAUGUGAUGCUCCCUGAUAACUUAGAAAUGAAUUGUUCUAGUUUGUAAAAUUGGGUGUUCAUUCCUAAAGAAUAAUGUAAAAAAAAAAAGUGAAUGUAAAUUAAUUAUGUAAAAAUAUUCAGUGUUCCAAAGUAUUUCCAAAAUAGUAAUUGGUAAAAAAACUGCUUGUCAUUUUAAGGCAAACAUUAACUGUCAACAAAAUCCUGAGUUGUUGAAAACUAGUCUAUUGCAAUUUAGUUUUAUUUUUGACAGUAGCUUUUUACAGUGUUUGAAGGUAUCUUUUAGAUUUUAGAAAAUGCUUAGAUGAUGAAUUUUAAAUAUGUCAAAAUUUCUUUAUAGUUCUCUGAUACUUAGGCACACUGGAGACUUUUCAUAGGAAGGUCUGAAAUCGUGUCUUUGUUUCAAAGGUUCACUCUUGAUGGUGACUAAGGAGAAAAUACUUUGAUAGCACUGUGUUGUACUGUUUAUUUGGCCAAGCCCAUUGCAUAUCUUUCCUGAAUGUUCUAGUGGGAGGGAUAUUUAAAUGCACUGUCCAUUUGGCAAACAGCUGCCUGUGACAUAAAGAGAUGGAAAGGAGCCUUGGUACACAGUUUGUGCUUUUAUCUGCACAUACAAAGAGUGGCUGCUUCAGUGCAGACGCCACCUGUGGGCCCCCAGCACUGCUGACAGUAAUAGUCACACCACUAGAAUUGAAAACUGCACAUGGAAGGGAAUUGUAUAAGACCAGAUAAGACUGAACAAAAUUAAGAUGGGGUGCAGGAGGUUUUUUUUUUUUUUUAAAGGAAACACACACACACACAGUAACAGAAAAAAAUGAGAAGAAUUCUGUGAUGAGUGAUGAUUGCUUUCCUGUAUAAAUUAUGUAUAAGUAUACAUGUCUCCUUCCUGUCUCUCUCAUCUUUGUGUAUUACUAUUAAGAUUUAACUCUUUGUUUAAACACAUUAGACUAGAAACUAAUUUUAAUACUUGCUAUAUUGGAUUUUCAAAUUUGUUUUACUCCUUUAACUUUCAUUUAAUGAUUUUUUAUUACUUAGUUAUAUAUAAAAUAAGCUUGUUGUCUUUUCUCUAUAGCCCUUGAAGCUAAUACAUGAUCUGCUAUUCAUAUGAGAAGUUUGCACUUAGUGUUGUAUGUUUUGUUUUGUUUUUUUUAAAUAUCCAUGAAAUUCAUGAAGCUUCAAAAUGUUUUGUUUUCCUUCUUAGUACUCUGAAGACUUUUUAAGCCACAGAGCCUUGUUUGUCUUUACUUGAAAGAAGGAAAAAAAAAGUUCCAUUUUUGGCAUAGGAUCCUACUAUAUAGCCCUGCCUACUCUUGGGCUAGCAUUGUAGAGAUCUGCCUGCCUCUGCCUCCCAAGAACUGGGAUUCAAGGUGUGUACUACCACACCUAGUAGAACUUGUUUUUGACAAAAUUGUAGCACCUCUCACUUUUCUUCACCUGUAAUGUCCUUAAACAUUUAUUUCAGUUUGAUUUUUCUAACUCACUAAUUUAUUGUCUCUUUGUAACUAGUGCUAGACAUGUUUUAAAAUUUAAAUGUACCCAUUUGUGUUAUAUGUUUUUGAAGCCUCAUGAGUGAUGCUCACAAUUACUUGUUUUGGUAAUGGUUUUUAUUUUAUAGGCGUGAUUCUGCUCCCUGUAUAGAUUCUUGUCUCUGGGUCAUUGGUUUCCAGGGAUCGGCUUUACACAAGGGAUUUUUAGCUGGAUGCUCCUUUCACUAUUGGAUAGGACUGUUUGAUUGAGGUGUCAUCUCACUGUGAAGAAGCCAUUGUGCUUUGGCUUCUUUUUUCUACUUCCUGCUGUUCACAACAGCAAUGAAAAAAAAAUUUUUUUUUGUGAGCC
RNAcentral lists this long non-coding RNA (3159 nucleotides) under Mus musculus (house mouse). RNAcentral's name for it is "long non-coding RNA chr11:54596154-54599313". The record is from RNAcentral. Lineage: Eukaryota; Metazoa; Chordata; Mammalia; Rodentia; Muridae.